RNAcentral lists this unclassified non-coding RNA (366 nucleotides) under uncultured fungus. Its description in RNAcentral is "sequence contains ITS2". Lineage: Eukaryota; Fungi. The record is from RNAcentral.
AACGCAAAUUGCGCUCUCGGGAUAGGCCUGAGAGCACGCCUCUUUGAGUAUCGAUUCCACCACCUCCAGAACAAUUACUAUUUAUUUAGAAUUUGACACUGGGAGUUUGAGUGUUUUUCUUGAGCAAUUGAGAAAUCGCUUGAAAUGGAAUGGAUUUGGGGGAAAAGAUGUUCCUUACUCUAUCAAAUGGAUUGCAUUUUUGCAUGAUUGAACGUGGAUAAUUUCCAAUGUUUGAAAGUGUGAAGAUGAAAUUGUGACUGGAGUUUUGUUUGCAUCUUGCUUGAAUGCACCUCACCUAAAAAGACAUUAAUCUUAAUAAAUUAAGAAUUAGAUCUCAAAUGAAGCGAGACAACCCGCUGAACUUAA